CCGCCAACUUCUUCCCUAUCUCCCACGCAUUCACUGGCGUCAAGCCGCCCCACUUAAUUCUAGGUCUACACUCCUCACCCCUUCUCUUCCUAUCCUUCCUUAUACCCAAAUCCAUAACCAAGAGCCUAUGCUGAGUCGAAAGAUUCUCACUCGGGAUGACUUUACAGUCCUUACACAACACCCUAUCCCCUUUCCUAAGCAACAAAAAGUCAAUUUGGGUCUUGGCUAUCGUACUUCGGAAGGUGAUCAGGUGAUCGUCCUUCUUCGAGAAGCCCGAGUUCACCACCACCA
RNAcentral lists this long non-coding RNA (291 nucleotides) under Capsicum annuum. Its description in RNAcentral is "long non-coding RNA (CANN_LNC010840)". The record is from RNAcentral. Lineage: Eukaryota; Viridiplantae; Streptophyta; Magnoliopsida; Solanales; Solanaceae.